UACGUAGGUGACAAGCGUUGUCCGGAUUUACUGGGCGUAAAGAGCGCGCAGGCGGUCGUUCAAGUCGAGUGUGAAAGCCCCCGGCUCAACUGGGGAGGGUCAUUCGAUACUGAUCGACUCGAAGGCAGGAGAGGGAAGUGGAAUUCCCGGUGUAGUGGUGAAAUGCGUAGAUAUCUGGAGGAAUACCGGUGGCGAAGGCGGCAUCCUGGACCGGCAUUGACGCUGAGGAGCGAAAGCCAGGGGAGCAAACGGG
This 253-nucleotide ribosomal RNA is filed under the name uncultured bacterium. RNAcentral's name for it is "partial 16S ribosomal RNA". It matches the Rfam family "Bacterial small subunit ribosomal RNA", at positions 524 to 776 of the family's 1533-position model. The record is from RNAcentral.